CAGGCUUAACACAUGCAAGUCGAGGGGCAGCAUUUCAGUUUGCUUGCAAACUGGAGAUGGCGACCGGCGCACGGGUGAGUAACACGUAUCCAACCUGCCGAUAACUCGGGGAUAGCCUUUCGAAAGAAAGAUUAAUACCCGAUGGUAUAAUCAGACCGCAUGGUCUUGUUAUUAAAGAAUUUCGGUUAUCGAUGGGGAUGCGUUCCAUUAGGCAGUUGGUGAGGUAACGGCUCACCAAACCUUCGAUGGAUAGGGGUUCUGAGAGGAAGGUCCCCCACAUUGGAACUGAGACACGGUCCAAACUCCUACGGGAGGCAGCAGUGAGGAAUAUUGGUCAAUGGGCGCAGGCCUGAACCAGCCAAGUAGCGUGAAGGAUGACUGCCCUAUGGGUUGUAAACUUCUUUUAUAUGGGAAUAAAGUUUUCCACGUGUGGAAUUUUGUAUGUACCAUAUGAAUAAGGAUCGGCUAACUCCGUGCCAGCAGCCGCGGUAAUACGGAGGAUCCGAGCGUUAUCCGGAUUUAUUGGGUUUAAAGGGAGCGUAGGUGGACAGUUAAGUCAGUUGUGAAAGUUUGCGGCUCAACCGUAAAAUUGCAGUUGAUACUGGCUGUCUUGAGUACAGUAGAGGUGGGCGGAAUUCGUGGUGUAGCGGUGAAAUGCUUAGAUAUCACGAAGAACUCCGAUUGCGAAGGCAGCUCACUGGACUGCAACUGACACUGAUGCUCGAAAGUGUGGGUAUCAAACAGGAUUAGAUACCCUGGUAGUCCACACAGUAAACGAUGAAUACUCGCUGUUUGCGAUAUACAGUAAGCGGCCAAGCGAAAGCAUUAAGUAUUCCACCUGGGGAGUACGCCGGCAACGGUGAAACUCAAAGGAAUUGACGGGGGCCCGCACAAGCGGAGGAACAUGUGGUUUAAUUCGAUGAUACGCGAGGAACCUUACCCGGGCUUAAAUUGCAUUUGAAUAUAUUGGAAACAGUAUAGCCGUAAGGCAAAUGUGAAGGUGCUGCAUGGUUGUCGUCAGCUCGUGCCGUGAGGUGUCGGCUUAAGUGCCAUAACGAGCGCAACCCUUAUCUUUAGUUACUAACAGGUCAUGCUGAGGACUCUAGAGAGACUGCCGUCGUAAGAUGUGAGGAAGGUGGGGAUGACGUCAAAUCAGCACGGCCCUUACGUCCGGGGCUACACACGUGUUACAAUGGGGGGUACAGAAGGCAGCUACCUGGUGACAGGAUGCUAAUCCCAAAAGCCUCUCUCAGUUCGGAUCGAAGUCUGCAACCCGACUUCGUGAAGCUGGAUUCGCUAGUAAUCGCGCAUCAGCCAUGGCGCGGUGAAUACGUUCCCGGGCCUUGUACACACCGCCCGUCAAGCCAUGAAAGCCGGGGGUACCUGAAGUACGUAACCGCAAGGAGCGUCCUAGGGUAAAACUGGUAAUUGGGG
RNAcentral lists this ribosomal RNA (1434 nucleotides) under uncultured organism. Its description in RNAcentral is "16S ribosomal RNA". It matches the Rfam family "Bacterial small subunit ribosomal RNA". The record is from RNAcentral.